UCAGAUUGAACGCUGGCGGCAGGCCUAACACAUGCAAGUCGAGCGGCAGCGACAUGAUUGAACCUUCGGGGAGUUAUGGGGCGGCGAGCGGCGGACGGGUGAGUAAUGCCUGGGAAUAUGCCCUGAUGUGGGGGAUAACCAUUGGAAACGAUGGCUAAUACCGCAUAAUCUCUUCGGAGCAAAGAGGGGGACCUUCGGGCCUCUCGCGUCAGGAUUAGCCCAGGUGGGAUUAGCUAGUUGGUGGGGUAACGGCUCACCAAGGCGACGAUCCCUAGCUGGUCUGAGAGGAUGAUCAGCCACACUGGAACUGAGACACGGUCCAGACUCCUACGGGAGGCAGCAGUGGGGAAUAUUGCACAAUGGGGGAAACCCUGAUGCAGCCAUGCCGCGUGUGUGAAGAAGGCCUUCGGGUUGUAAAGCACUUUCAGUCGUGAGGAAGGGUGUGCAGUUAAUAGCUGUACAUUUUGACGUUAGCGACAGAAGAAGCACCGGCUAACUCCGUGCCAGCAGCCGCGGUAAUACGGAGGGUGCGAGCGUUAAUCGGAAUUACUGGGCGUAAAGCGCAUGCAGGCGGUCUGUUAAGCAAGAUGUGAAAGCCCGGGGCUCAACCUCGGAACAGCAUUUUGAACUGGCAGACUAGAGUCUUGUAGAGGGGGGUAGAAUUUCAGGUGUAGCGGUGAAAUGCGUAGAGAUCUGAAGGAAUACCGGUGGCGAAGGCGGCCCCCUGGACAAAGACUGACGCUCAGAUGCGAAAGCGUGGGGAGCAAACAGGAUUAGAUACCCUGGUAGUCCACGCCGUAAACGAUGUCUACUUGGAGGUUGUGGCCUUGAGCCGUGGCUUUCGGAGCUAACGCGUUAAGUAGACCGCCUGGGGAGUACGGUCGCAAGAUUAAAACUCAAAUGAAUUGACGGGGGCCCGCACAAGCGGUGGAGCAUGUGGUUUAAUUCGAUGCAACGCGAAGAACCUUACCUACUCUUGACAUCCAGAGAACUUUCCAGAGAUGGAUUGGUGCCUUCGGGAACUCUGAGACAGGUGCUGCAUGGCUGUCGUCAGCUCGUGUUGUGAAAUGUUGGGUUAAGUCCCGCAACGAGCGCAACCCCUAUCCUUGUUUGCCAGCACGUCAUGUUGGGAACUCCAGGAAGACUGCCGGUGAUAAACCGGAGGAAGGUGGGGA
Molecule: ribosomal RNA, 1175 nt
Filed under: Photobacterium sp. S2541
Lineage: Bacteria; Pseudomonadati; Pseudomonadota; Gammaproteobacteria; Vibrionales; Vibrionaceae
Description: bacterial SSU rRNA
Rfam family: Bacterial small subunit ribosomal RNA
Source: RNAcentral